Molecule: small nuclear RNA, 108 nt
Organism: Otolemur garnettii (small-eared galago)
Lineage: Eukaryota; Metazoa; Chordata; Mammalia; Primates; Galagidae
Source: Ensembl
GUGCUUACUUCAGGAGCACUUAUACUCUAAUUGGAAUGCCGCAGAGAAAAUUAGCAUGAUUGCUGUGCAAGGAUGACAUGCAAAAUUCAUGAAGCGUUCCAUAUUUAU